This is an RNA transcript of Contarinia nasturtii (swede midge), 1849 nucleotides long. It is a transcript of the gene named odorant receptor 43b-like, with no coding region annotated. The transcript is spliced from 5 exons. The record is from RefSeq and is a predicted model, not a curated record. Lineage: Eukaryota; Metazoa; Arthropoda; Insecta; Diptera; Cecidomyiidae.
CCAAUAGAUAGUGUUAUAGAAAAUAGAUUUUUUCGAAGAGGAGUAACCAUUUAGUUUAGAAUUAAUACCUCCAAAGCACAAUGAAUGAUUUCUUCAUUUAAAUGUCGCCGCCUUUUGAUUUAAAAGGAAUAAAAUAUUUCACAUUUUAAUAAUUAAUAAUUCUUCAAAGCUCUAUAAUUAUAAGGUAAAUUUUCUGUCUUACCCUAACUAAACAAUAUAAUCAACGUUGUUAAACGUUGUCGUGUCUUCCGAUUUUUUGUAAAUUUCGUUACAUUAGUGAUCAAAUAAAAGCGCAACCAACAUAACAAUUCUCACAGAGUGUCCAGUUGAAUAGUUCAUGAUAAUGUUGUGAAUUUGGAGGAUUUAUUUUUCUUAAUCGUUGCCAAUGAAAAUCUGUGUAGCAAAAUGGAAGUUAUAAAAUUAAAUAAAAAACUUUUGAAAGUGUUUGGAAUGUGUUUAAACGAUGAAAAUGCCACACAACGAGAGCGAACUAUCAGCAAAAUAAUCAACUGGAUGAUGCUAUCGAUUUCACUAUGUACAAUUGGUGUCAGCAUAGAAUAUAUCGUUUCGCAUUUUUCGGAUACUGAAAGUGUUCUAUUCGCUGUAAUGCAAGUGUCUGCCAACACGGCAUCGGGCGGAGGCUAUUGGACAUUUUACAAUAAUAAAUACAAAGUAUCGAAAUUCCUGAAUCAAAUUGAAAAUUUGGUUAAAUUACGCACGUAUUUGUCAAAAUCACGAAUCAAGAGUUUUAUACGAAAAGGCGGAAGUGAAAUCCACUUUUGUUGCAAAGUGGCCUCUUAUUGUUUUCAUUGUGAACUACGAUUUUGUGUUGAUUUUUGCCACAACAUAUACGGUGAUAUUCGAAAUGAUUCCCGGCCGAAGUGAUCCAGCCACAUGGUACUCAAUGUAUAAAUUGAGCUAUCCAUUUGAUGUUCACACUUUGCAUGGAUAUUUUGGUUACUUAAUUAUGGUGAUCAUAGCAUUACACACUUAUGCGAUUUUGAUAACAAGUCAAGUGGCUUUUUUCCUCGGUUCAUCAUUUUAUCUGGAUGCUUUUACUGAAAAUUUCGACAAAUUAAUGCGCCAAUUAAAUCAAAUCGAACAAAAACCAAAACAAUCAAUAAACACUGUAAAAGAGCGCCUAUUUGAUGGAGUUAAAUUCAACAUUCAAAUUAUUGAGUUUGUAUUUUCGUUGAAUAUUUGGCACACACCAUAAAAUGUAGAUUUUUUUUGCAGACUUUUUCAUCAACUGAGUAGUAUUGUGACGGGAAUUAUAUUUUUCCAACUUUUAUGUGGCGCCGUAUUUUGUUCAACAUCGAUAUAUCAACUGGAUUUGGCUUCUAAACAUAUCAAUCCGGAUUUUUUCAUUUUGAUAUUUGCAUCGACUGUGAGCAUUGCAACAACAUUGCCUUACUGCUACUAUUCGGCGCACAUUUCAUUGCGGUUACAGUCGAUUGGCGAUAGUGCUUAUCAUACUUUCAUUUGGUAUGAAUUUCCAUGUCACAUACAAAGAGACCUCCCAUUAAUCAUACAGAACUCAGAGCGUCCAAAGUUUUUUUCUGGAUAUGGAUUUAUUAACUGCUCGUUAGAAACAUUUAAGAAGAUCUUGAAUACAGCCGGUUCAUAUUAUAUUAUGUUCAAAACUGUUAUGAAACGUUGAAACUCAUACCAACUGCACACAUUCUGUAAUUGAAUAGUGUUUUCAAAGCAAGUACUUUAACAAAAAUUCAAAUUUACCGGCCCAAAAAGUAAAGGCGUUUGCUGUUAUUACUAAUCAAUUGCUCAGGACUGGAAUAAAUAAUUCGGAAUUAGUUUUUUUUUGUUUUAUUGGUAAUUACCUAUUACUAGC